GAUCUGCACUGGCAGGGAAGAGACCAAGGUCACCAAGUGGUUUUCCCAGGGAAAGGUUCAUCCAUUGUGCUCCAGACUACCGCCCACUGUGACUUCCCCAGUGAUGGGAAACUUGACUGUGUAACUUGUGGCAGGGGGACUGCGCUUGCAGUUCCCUU
This is a small nuclear RNA of Sciurus carolinensis (gray squirrel), 158 nucleotides long. RefSeq annotates it as U1 spliceosomal RNA. The transcript has a single exon. Lineage: Eukaryota; Metazoa; Chordata; Mammalia; Rodentia; Sciuridae. The record is from RefSeq and is a predicted model, not a curated record.